CAUGGGGAACAAGCCUGUAAGCAACAAUCCCCGUGGGCUACAUCAGCUCCUGCCCUGAGGCAUCCAAGUUCCUGCCUGGUUUGAGUUCCUGUCUUGACUCCUUUCCAGGAUGAACACCCAUAACAUAAGUAGUAUGGACUGCUUCUGCUUCCAUGCUGACUGCUCCUGUUUCCACAGUGCUUCCUGUAACUCAUUCUCCACACAGUAGAAAAUACAAAAUGAGAAUCAGAAUUGAAGCAGAAGACAAGGACUAGAAAGAAUUCAGCUGACCAACAGCUUUAGGAACCCAGCUUUGGGUCUAAGAGGAGUUAUUGGAAACCCAGCUGGACCAAGACCCACCGAUUUUAACCAGGAUCAUCUCUGUGACUUUGCGUUUGGGUCUUGCUGUUAGAGCCUGGUGGGCAGCUAGCGGCUGUUCUCUCUCAGCGGUCAAUAUACUUCAUCACGAAGAGGCAGGGCGUAUGGGCUCCUCCUUGAUCCACGACUCACUGUGAUGGGACUAUCACACCGAAUGCACCUUAUUUUAUCAGAACUGAGUUUUAAUGCUCCCUCUUCAAACGCUGAUAGUCGCGGCUUUCAUCCAAGCCAAGUCACGAGCAAGAAGCCCACUGAGAAAUCAGGCAGGAACCAGG
Mesocricetus auratus (golden hamster) is the source of this 632-nucleotide long non-coding RNA. RefSeq lists it as uncharacterized. The transcript has 5 exons. Lineage: Eukaryota; Metazoa; Chordata; Mammalia; Rodentia; Cricetidae. The record is from RefSeq and is a predicted model, not a curated record.